RNAcentral lists this ribosomal RNA (253 nucleotides) under uncultured bacterium. RNAcentral's name for it is "partial 16S ribosomal RNA". It matches the Rfam family "Bacterial small subunit ribosomal RNA", at positions 524 to 776 of the family's 1533-position model. The record is from RNAcentral.
UACGGAGGGUGCAAGCGUUAAUCGGACUUAUUGGGCGUAAAGAGCCAGUAGGUGGUUAAGUCAGUCAGAUGUGAAAGCCCCGGGCUCAACCCGGGAACUGCAUUUGAUACUGCUUAACUAGAGUACAGCAGAGGGUGGAGGAAUUUCCGGUGUAGCGGUGAAAUGCGUAGAGAUCGGAAGGAACACUAGUGGCGAAGGCGUCCACCUGGGCUGAUACUGACACUGAAUGGCGAAAGCGUGGGUAGCAAACAGG